This 1408-nucleotide long non-coding RNA is filed under the name Androctonus crassicauda. The record is from RNAcentral. Lineage: Eukaryota; Metazoa; Arthropoda; Arachnida; Scorpiones; Buthidae.
GAAAAUUUUAACUUAGACGAAUCUGUAGAUACGCGUAAUUUUUCUGUCGACAAUAUUAUAAUUUGGAUUUUUUUAGAUAUUUUAAUUUGUAACUUCUCAGAAUUCGAAAGCAUCAAAAUUUUAUUUAUAAAUAUCGUAGAAGGCUAAUAAAAAGAAAAAGCCUGUUACUUAUUGACUAAAUCGAAAAUAGAAUCAGUUGCCGUGUUUUGGAUUCCCUAGAAAAACUUUCAAGGCGUGGUUUUCAUCAGUUUCCAUUCACUAGCAGAAAGCUAAAAUUCCGUCGCUGUUGGUUGCGUGAUAUAAAAUUUUAAAUAUAGUUUUAAUUUAAAUAUAUCCUAGAAAGCCAAUUAAAAAAGCUUGUUACUCUCAUUGGCUAAAUCGAUAAUUGGAUUGGUGGCCGAUUUUGGAUUCCUCAGAAAAACUUUCAAGGCGUGGUUUUCACCAGUUUUCAUUCCCUAGCGGAAAGUCGAAACUUUUGUCGCUGUUGGCUGCGUGAUAUAAAAUUUUAAAUAUCCUGUAAACGCUUUACAACAAUGACACACAGCUUGCAUAUUAAAUAGACUAAAUUCGACUUUAAUUAGGACUAAGCGGCCCACCGCAUCUAUAAUAAAAGCGUAAUGGCGAACAAGCGAUUAAACCAACAAGUUUCUCGAAUGUAGAUGAAAAUUUUCCGAUAACAGAUAUAUAUUUUUAUCGAUUAUUUUUCGAUUGCAGAGAGAUAUUUUCGAACGGAUAGUUAUUAGAAUUGCAAAUUUAUCGAACGAAAUCCGGUUUCGCGCUAACGGGAGAUUCUCAGUCCUGUCUGACUCCUUACUAUUCGGCCGAUGACUUUCGUACUUAUGGUAAUACAAGUUAAAUACUAGAACAGAUAACUUCAUUGAAACGAGCUUAAGGAGUUGUUUUUUUUUUUUUUUUGUAAAAUCCGCGUUAAAAAAAAUAGCAUUAAACAGUUAUCGAAAUUUUUAAGAUAGUUUAAACAAGGAAAAUUGCGAUUUUUAUUUAAAACUUGAAGCUCGUAAAUAUUGUUUAUUAUCAAACAAGCUUCGAAGAGACCAUGAUCGAUUUGAAAAAAUGUUUAUAGAAACCAUCAGAAUUUAAGAAAAAAAUGUGUAUUUUGAAAAAUUCGUCGCUCGAAAUAGUUGGCUAUUGGAAAAAUAAUAACAAUAAUAAUCCUUGGAUAAAUUUUGUUGUUUCGAGAAAUUCAUCUAUCUGCGAGAGCAAUAUUAUAAUCAGCUUAUUACUUUCGGCGAUAAAUUUCGUAUGUCAAGGCAAACAAGAACGAUUCUCACCAUAUAUAGUUUACGUCGUUUAUCUCCUAAAAACAGAAUACGCUAUGAAGCUAAAUAUGUGACUGAUAUGUUUCGUUCGGUAUCGAAAUCUUUCGUAUAAAAUAAGCAAAUAACCAAAC